Molecule: ribosomal RNA, 1794 nt
Filed under: Triticum aestivum (bread wheat)
Lineage: Eukaryota; Viridiplantae; Streptophyta; Magnoliopsida; Poales; Poaceae
Description: partial small subunit ribosomal RNA
Source: RNAcentral
AUGGCCGAGGGCACCGACACGGUGCGCGCGCCCGGCGACGCGGAGGAGAUGGAGAAGGGAGAGAUCGCAGGCGCCGCCGCCGGUGCCGACGGCGACUCCGCCGCGCCCCAGCCGGUGGAGCCCACCUGGGCUUUCUGGAUCGGCAACGGCAACCCGCAGGAGGAUUCCGCCGGCCGGGGGAACACCGUCCACACCUUCUCCACCGUCGACGACUUCUUGAGCCUUUACAAUAAUAUCCUCCACCCUAGUAAAUUGGGUGUGGGAGCUGACCUCCAUUGCUUCAAGAAUAAGAUUGAGCCGAAAUGCGAAGGCCCCAUAUGUGCUAAUGGAGGUGCAUGGACCAUCAGUUGUGGCGAAGGGAAAUCGCAGCCAUUGUGGUUGGAUACACUACUGGCAUUGAUUGGUGGACAAUUCGAAUAUGGUAAUGAAAUUUGUGGAGCGGUCCUUAGCGUGUGUGGGAAGCAGGAAACAAUAGCUAUAUGGAUUAAAGAUGCUACUAACGAAGCUGCUCAGCUAAGCAUUGGCAAGCAGUGGAAGGAAUUUCUGGAGUACAAGGACUCAGUUGAGUUCAUUGUUCAUGAUAGUGAUGCAACGGCAGUACAAUGCUGGUCUUCCACGUUUCCCGAUGAUCCCCUUGACGUCAUCUACAACAAGGUCCCCAGUCACUGCAGCCGCGUGCGCUUUGCUGCCGUCUGCAGAUCGUGGUGCACUGCAGCUUCGCGGCACCCCGCGCUGCCUGAACUCCCGUGGCUGCUCCUCUCACCACGCGACCGUGACACAACGAAGCGCCUCUACUGUCCUGAGGACAGCAAGAUCCUGUGCAUCUCGCUCCCGAGCGAUUUCAUCGGCAACUGGUUCGUCGGCUGUCAUGGUGGUGGCUGGGUUGCAUCAUUCGAACCACCACCGUUCAGGAUCUUGAACAUUUUCUCCAGUGUUGAGGUUGCGCUCUCCGAGAAACAGAAGGGGAUCGUUUGCCCAGGCCGCCUUGGCCAGAUCAUCAUUUGGAAAAUCAUCUUCUCCAAACCACCCACCUCAAGUGACUGUAUCAUUGCUGCCAUCACCGACAAUCACGGCAUCGCGCUCUGCAGGGUUGGGUGUCCGAACGGUGGGUGGACAACAAAAGGACAUGUAAGCUACACCAUGGAGCUUGCAGACAUCGCCUUUUGCAACGGUAAGCUCUAUGGUCUCACACGGGACAGAUGGGAACUUGUCAAGUUUGAGAUCGGUGCUGAUGAAGAUGGUGCGCCCGUGGUCACAGCCGUUGAUCGGCUAGUGGUCACUGUCGAGCACCAGCAGCCCCCCAGUGUCUGGGCCAACCGGGUGGAUGCCAGCUACAUUUUUGAGCUACACGGCAAGCUUGCGACGGCGGUGAGGUCCCCAUGGUCACCCAACCUCAGACCUUUCUUCAAAGUGUUCGAACUUGUUGACAUCGACACCAGCGAGGGGAUGGCACAUGGCACACACAAAUGGACAGAGGUGAUGAGCUUGGGUGACUUUGCCCUAUUCCUGGGUCCAAACAGCUCCAAGGCGGUGCAUGUGUCAGCAGACAGGCGCGGCGGUGUGAAGAGAAACCACAUCUACUACUCCUACCAUCGCCGCUUAGCACAGAAGGAGGUCCUUCUCAGCACUGACCUGGUGUUCCUGACAAGCUCCAACGCUGAUGGUGAUUCCGUGUACUACAGGGAAGAUGAAAGCUUAUCCGCAGCCGUGGGCGGGGUUCAUAGGAUUGGGGCAGUAGGAUACUAUGUCAGGGGUAGCCCUAAUCCUCCAGUGUGGCUUCUCCCCCUAGCAUAG